This 377-nucleotide ribosomal RNA is filed under the name uncultured eukaryote. RNAcentral's name for it is "partial 18S ribosomal RNA". It matches the Rfam family "Eukaryotic small subunit ribosomal RNA", at positions 592 to 976 of the family's 1831-position model. The record is from RNAcentral.
CAAUAGCGUAUAUUUAAGUUGCUGCAGUUAAAAAGCUCGUAGUUGGAUUUCGGGUGGGAAUGGCCGGUCCGCCGUUUCGGUGUGCACUUGCUACGCCCACCUUGCUGCCGGGGACGUGCUCUUGAGUUCACGCUCGGGACACGGAGUCGGCGAGGUUACUUUGAGUAAAUUAGAGUGUUCAAAGCAGGCCUACGCUCUGAAUACAUUAGCAUGGAAUAACACGAUAGGACUCUGGCCUAUCUUGUUGGUCUGUAGGACCGGAGUAAUGAUUAAGAGGGACAGUCGGGGGCAUUCGUAUUUCAUUGUCAGAGGUGAAAUUCUUGGAUUUAGGAAAGACGAACUACUGCGAAAGCAUUUGCCAAGGAUGUUUUCAUUAA